AGAGUAAUAUAGAGGCUCAGAUUCCAAAGAGGAGAAAGAUGAACUAGAGAAGGCAGGUAGUUGACAGACAUAUUCCUUAAGAUAGGAAGGAGGAUUAUGCUGUCUUUGAGACUUUUUGGGAGCAGGAAUAGAGAGAGAAGAAGCUAAAACAGGAGGUGAGCUGGCAGGAUUGAAAGGAGAAGGGAAGGCUGAAGCAGUUGGGAUAGUGACAGGAAAAGGCAUCUGCACAGAUGUGGGAGAAGAGGGAGGAGAGAGGUGAAUGAGAGA
This 267-nucleotide long non-coding RNA is filed under the name Nicotiana benthamiana. Its description in RNAcentral is "long non-coding RNA (NBEN_LNC041140)". Lineage: Eukaryota; Viridiplantae; Streptophyta; Magnoliopsida; Solanales; Solanaceae. The record is from RNAcentral.